Molecule: ribosomal RNA, 300 nt
Filed under: uncultured Bacillus sp.
Lineage: Bacteria; Bacillati; Bacillota; Bacilli; Caryophanales; Bacillaceae
Description: partial 16S ribosomal RNA
Rfam family: Bacterial small subunit ribosomal RNA
Source: RNAcentral
GGAAACUACAGCGCAGCGGGGGGGGUAAGACGUGGGGGGCAAGGGUUAUACGGAUUUACUGGGGGGAAAGGGAGCGUAGACGGCACGGCAAGCCGGAUGUGAAAGCCCGGGGCUCAACCCCGGGACUGCAUUUGGAACUGCUGAGCUAGAGUGUCGGAGAGGCAAGUGGAAUUCCUAGUGUAGCGGUGAAAUGCGUAGAUAUUAGGAGGAACACCAGUGGCGAAGGCGGCUUGCUGGACGAUGACUGACGUUGAGGCUCGAAAGCGUGGGGAGCAAACAGGAUUAGAUACCCUUGUAGUC